GCUGGAUUCCAAUGGGGAGCUGCUCAUCCGAAAUGCCCAGCUGAAACAUGCCGGGAGGUACACAUGCACCGCUCAGACUAUUGUGGACAAUUCUUCUGCUUCAGCUGACCUUGUUGUGCGAGGCCCUCCAGGCCCUCCUGGUGGUUUGCGGAUAGAAGACAUUAGAGCCACUUCAGUGGCACUUACUUGGAGCCGGGGUUCAGACAAUCAUAGUCCGAUAUCUAAAUACAAUAUCCAGACCAAGACUAUUCUUUCAGAUGACUGGAAAGAUGCAAAGACAGAUCCCCCAAUUAUUGAAGGAAACAUGGAAGCAGCAAGAGCAGUGGAUUUAAUUCCAUGGAUGGAAUAUGAAUUUCGUGUGGUAGCAACCAAUACAUUGGGUAUAGGAGAGCCCAGUAUACCAUCAAACAAAAUUAAAACAGAUGGUGCUGGUACGUAGAAGAAACUUUGCAGCAUGUAAAACAUUUGUAAAUUCAGUGAUACUUUAAUAUAUAAUUGAACGUAUUUGGAAAUAAUUCUCUGAGGUAAGUAAUGUAUCUAAAAAAUUUGUGUAUAUGUAUUUCACACGUCUCAGGGACCAAGAGCGCCACCUCAAGAAACCACACUGCUUUUGUUGUGCUCUUUAGGAUUAUGUCAAAUGAGGAGGGGGUAAUAGGUGCAGGAUAUAGGCUUUUUUAAUUAUUUUAAAAGUCUCAUAGCCAGUAGCUGAUUAAGCUUUUAUUCUGACCUUUAGGCAUUUAACAAUCAUUAGCAUUGAGGAAGCUUGGCAUCAGCUAUCUAUGCAUAGCAUCUAGAGAAUCACCAUUGUGCUUCUGCAGACUGCGUGCCUAUCUGCCGCGACCCUGCAUGCCUAGGUGUGCACCUCAGUUCUUCUUGCUAAUGCAUAUCCUACUAAGGACCCCUCAUAAACCCCUUGGGGCCAUGAGGCUUAUCUUCCUCUUAUUCUUUAGAGGACAUAUCAUGCUGUGCAAAUGGCGUGUCUAUCUGCACACGUCCGGUGUGCCUAGACCAACAUAUUAUGUCCUCAUUCAGCUGACGACAUGAAUAACUUAUGCCUUUAAGUCUUUGUUCUUAAGCUUAAGUCAUAUACCAGCACUGCGACUGUUUUCCAAGCAGGAAGAUGGGGUAAAGUAAAGCAGGACAAGAUGGAGUUUUCAGCAUAGAAAACAGAAGCAAAGAGGCUAAGAAAAUAUUGUAGAAACAUGUCUUGCUGACAACACCAAGUAAAUGAAGCUGGUGUUUAGCAAAUAAACCUUAAUGUAAAUCGUGAAUGUUAACCAGGCAGGGAAGUGAUUUAACAGGUUCCGUGAUUUAGAAGGCUCACAAUGUUUUUGUGUCUCUCAAGACAUUUAUAAGCGUCGUGGGGAUGGAGGGGAUGGAUGGAAGAAUAGGAUGAGCAGGGCGUGGAGAGAAAGUGAUGAGGACUCUCAGACCUUCACUACCUGGGCAGUAGAGCAUCUCAGAAAUAACUAUAGUGUUUUAUUUUAAUGUUAGAUGUCACUCUAAAUAUGCUGUUUUAUCACACCUCAACCUUGGCUAUUCUUCCAAUUUAGGUUCACUUUGGUUUGGGUUUGGUUUGGUUUGGUUUGGUUUGGUUUUUGGCCAUACCAGCGGCAUGUGGAAGUUCCUGGGCCAAGGAUUGAACCUGUGCCACUACAAUGACAACCCCAGAUCUUUAACCCGUUGCACCACCCAGGAACUCCUAGGUUCACAUUUUUUAUGCUAAAUACCAACUCCAUUUUAAUAGCCUUUAGUACAUGAAGUACUCUGCUUUGUUUUCUUUCUCCCUGGUAUUUCUAGGCAAAAAUAGUGUUCUGAUUCCAAUAAUAAGUCUUCUUUAUUAUUCCCUGUGAAAAAGAAAAUGUUUUGCAGACUCUCUGGGUUUGUUUAUUUUUACUAUGCCUUGCCAACCUUCAGUGCUUUAUUUGGGGGAAAAUAUUUUAAAUAGAAGACAGACCACCAUUAAAAUUCUGCUGUGAUAUCUUAAUAUUACUUAUCCACAUUUCUGGCUAUCUCAAUGCCUUGGCCUGACUUCUAAAUAGAAUUAUGAAUUAUACUGUCUUUAGUUGUUAAAGCCAAAUUAUCCAUAGAGACUACCAUCCAUAAACUGUCCCUUAAAGUUUCACGUAGUUUCCUGUAACUUACCAGAUAAAACUAAUGAUUCUGUAAUAGAGGAGGAAAUAACACUAAAAUACUGAUCUGUGCCGGGUAUUUUCACACACAUUUCGGUUAAUCCUCAUAAUAAUAUUUUGAGGUAGAUAUUACAAUCCAAUGCUCAUUGAUAGACAGUAGGCUCAGAGACACUAAAUAGUUUACCUAAGUUAGUACAACUACUUGCAAGAUUCAGAAUUCAAAUUCAGAGCUGUCUGACAACUCUUCUCAUAUACUGAACUUUCUCUUUUAAAACGUGGUUUCUCAAUUAGGACUCUAAAAGCACAAAGACUCAUAUGAACUUUUAUUAGUGUUCUAGUAGAAGCUCACAUUUUAUUCUCAAUUAUGAAACUAGAUAUGGCCUCAACACUAUUAUUUUUGUUUUAGUAUAUCCACUUUUGAAAUGAAUGCCGUUGUUCCUUUUCUGUACCUCACAAAAAUCUUAUUAGGAUAUGCAGGUAAUAUAAGCUGCAGCUUUAGAAACACAGAUACCAUAGAGCCAGGAUCCUUGUGUUUUGUUUUAUUUCUUAGCGCCUCCUAUGUUUGUAAUAGGGCUUCUGGGUAAUGGGACUGAACACAGUUGCCCUUUCUUGAAAGACAAACAUGAAAAAGGAACUAGGACAUUUUCUGACUGGUGAUUUCAACCGCAUAAUUCAUGCUGAGAGAUCAUCAAGUUGCUUUGAUUUAACAGGUAUUCUCAAAUCUAAUAUUUUUGUAAGGUUGUUACUUUCAACCAACAACUUUUGGCAUCACCUCUCACAUUGUGUUUGCUCAAUGGUAUUUUGUUAAGGAACUAAUUCUCUCUCUAGGGUGCUUGAACAAUAACUUCUCUUAAAAGCCUUUAGAGCCAAAACAAACAAACACAUGAAGUAAUAACAGUCUUAUUCACAAUGUAAGAUACAGCCCCAUAUAUAGAGAUAAAAUGAGAUGACUCAUUCCUUUCAGCUGUGAAAAGAAUAAACCCUAUAACCUCUAAUACAUUUGUUAACCUUUCAUAGGAAAAUAUUUUAGGAUCCUUUAUUAAUCAGCUUUUAUGGUUAUCAUCAUUUAUGCACUUGCUGUAUGUUAUCAGAGAGCAUGCUAAGCUCUAUACUUGGCAUUGCUCCUUUUUAUUCCCACAAUAACUUUAUGAAAUUGGUGUUAUUGUUCCUAAUUUUACAAAGAAGUCAAGAUGAUACCCAAUUAAUGUGAAACAAAGCUGGAUUCAAAUCCAGGGUUUGUAAUCCUGAAAGCUUUGGGGUUUUUUGUUCGUUUGUUGCUUUUUAGGGCCACGCCUGCAGCAUAUGGAAGUUUCCAGGCUAGGGGUCGAAUCCAAGCUACUGCUGCUGGCCUAUGCUACAGCUACAGCAACACAGGAUCUGAGCUGUGUCUGUGACCUACACCACAGCUCACGGCAAUGCCAGAUUCUUAACCCACUGCGCAAGGCCAGGGAUUGAACCCUCAUCCUCAUGGAUCCUGGUCAGGUUCAUUUACCACUGAGCCACGAAGGGAAUGCCUGAAAGCUUUGUUUCUAAACCACUUUCUCGGAGGUCUUUGUGAGGUAAUGAAGUUCCAGGACACUGAUCCUGCAAAGGAAUCCUGAUUCUAUAAUUUACAAGCUCUGUGAUUAGAGGCAUAUUACUUAACCUCUCUGAGCCUGAGUUUUCUCAUCUCUAAGUGGAAAUUAUUUCUUAUGAGAAAUUUUUAUGACUACAAACAUGAAAGGAAAGCAAUUAGUUCUACCUAGUGCAUAAUAUUUGCUGAAGAAAAAAUUUUAUUAUGUUAUUAAUGAUCAUUUUAAACUUUAAUAUGCUUAUAAGAAAAUAUUGUCUACACUGACACUGAUCACUUCAUUUGGCAAUAUAUUUCCAUUUUUAUAAGCAUAAUAGAGGAUUAUAUAAUUUCUUAUGAUUUUAAUGAUCUUAAAGGAAUAAUUUUAUAUAUUUAAUAAAAUAAAAUCCAACAGAUUUUCUCUUUAACUGCUGUUUUUCCUUUCAUCCUGUUUUUUAAAAAUUGAAUAUUCAUAAAAUUGGACAUUUACAUUUUUUUAUCCUUACAAAAAAAUAAAAAUACUUUCUAAAACAGGGAGAUGUUUGUCUUGUCAUGUACCAUUAUAGCAACUCUCUAAGAGAUGCCAGCAUAUGUCAUGUGGGAUAAAGGCUGGUUCCCAAUUGAUGGAAAGGUUACUCCUGUUCCUCAUUAUGCUGAUUGAAAGACACAACAUUAUCUAGUGCAGCACAUGCCCUUAUCUGUCCAAUUACUUCAUGUUAAGAUUGCCAUGCACAGUUGGGUAUAUUCUUUGGUUUCAGAAAAGUACAUUAUAAAAUGGAUGGUCCCAAGUGAAGAAUUAGAAGAUACAUUUGUAACUCAAUGUAACCCAUUUAAUUUUGACUGUAAGAAAGAGAUAAAAGCAUCCUUCAAAGUGAUGUGUCAUUGUAAAGACAUAUCCCAUAGCUAAUAGCUCUGCAGGUGCAGUUGGUGAGUUGAUACCCUAAAAUGGUGCAUUCAGGUUUGUUUUGACAGCUUUGCCAUUUUUUGCCAGAUCAACCUAAGAAGGAAAAAAAAAAAUAACAUAACACUGGAGUCAACAUUUUCCAGUGUGUAGAGCUUUAAUUUCAUGUCUGUUCUGCUCUUUCAGUAUCUUUUUUUAAUUUAUUAGAUAUGUUUGAUAAAAGAGAAGAAUGGUGCUAAAAACAUAUUUUAUAGCUGUUAAGGUGCUAUGUUAAAGUUAGUAGCUGUCACUAAUAAUAAAAUAGACACUUUUUUUUUAAUAAAGCAGAGAGUAUAGAUUUUUAAGCCAUAUGGAGGCCAGGGUUAAAGUUGCAACUAAAACACACUCGGUCAGUGCUCUUGAAAAUGUGAGGUCACCAAACAAAAACAUAAAACAAGAACAACAACAAAAAAGGAAUUCCCUCUUGGAACAACCGGUUAAAAAUCUGGCACUGUCACUGCAGUUGCCCAGGUUGCUGCUAUGGCACAGAUUCGAUCUCUGGCCUGGGAACUUCUGUGUGCAUGGGCAAAAAAAAAGUGAGGUCACAAAAGACGAGGAAAGACUGAAGAUCCGUUAGGGUCUGGAGGAGACUAAGACAUGUCAACUAAAUAGCUUGUGGUGUGCUGGGCUGUGUGCAAAACCAGAAAAAGGACAUUAGUAGAAAAACUGGCCCAAUCCAAAUGAAAUCCACAGUUUACAUUAUUGAGCCACUGUUAACUUCUCAGUUGUCAUCACUGUACUUGGUUAUGUUUGAUGUUAACUCAGGUGGAGGCUGAGUCAAGGAUAAAUUCUACGACUUUUGUUAACUGUCUCUGAGACUAAAAGUAAUUCAAACUUAAG
RNAcentral lists this long non-coding RNA (5461 nucleotides) under Sus scrofa (pig). Its description in RNAcentral is "lncRNA (ENSSSCG00060007054.1)". The record is from RNAcentral. Lineage: Eukaryota; Metazoa; Chordata; Mammalia; Artiodactyla; Suidae.